UGGAGAAAAUGGUUGGAAGUU
Non-coding RNA from Caenorhabditis elegans, 21 nucleotides. The record is from Ensembl. NCBI's taxonomy places the organism in Eukaryota, Metazoa, Nematoda, Chromadorea, Rhabditida, Rhabditidae.